CUUCAACGUUCAAUCGGUACCUCUCAAGGUAUUGCUGAUCCAAAAUUUGUAUUUUUAUUCGCGGUGUGCACAUCUGUUUUCAUCUCUCUUUUACUUCCUUCGAAACCUUAGAGUUUGAAACACUAAGAGGAGCUACAAUGCUCAAAGCAAGAUUAGAAUGCAAAAACAAAUUAAAUGGAAGCACACCGAUACUACAAAUCGAGGAGAACAAUGAUUUUGAAUUCGAUUUUGAAAACUGCAGAUCCAUUCUUGCCAAGGGUUCUGGGCUCCAUGUCGAGACAUUAGACGGAGAGAAUUGGGGAUGCUAAACAUCAUGAUUCAGAGCCGCCAACUCCACAUUCACUUAUAAAAAUGGGUUGAAGAUAGUGUAGUAACAUGGAACAUCCAGAUGGAACACUGGCUAGUGUUGCCCAAUGCAUUGAGCAAUUGGGGCAGAAUUCUUCAUCUGUACAGGAACAAGAGUAAUCCUUGAAGCAGUUGCUCGAGCAUAUUGAUACACGCGAAAAUGUUUUCAGUGCUGUUGGAUCGCAUUCUCAGGCAGUUCCUGUACUCAUGUCUCCUCUUCAAUCAGGAUCACUUAGGGUAAAGAUGCAGGCUGCUACUGCUUUCAACUGAAGGAGUAGUGCCGGUACUAUGGGAGCAACUACAGAAGGGGCUAAAGGCUGGAAACGUUGUUAAUAACUUGCUGAUAGGAGCUUUAAGAAACCUUUCCAGCAGCAUUGAGGGAUUCUAGUCUGUAAUCUCUGUAAUCACAGUGACAAUAUAUGUGCAUGCAUUGAGAGUGUCGAUGUUGUUCCUGCUUUACUAUGGCUACUAAAGAAUGGUAGCUCAAAUGGGAAAGAAAUUGUCGUGAAGACAUUGAACCAUUUGAAGAUCUUAUUUUGCUCCGAUCUCCAAUCUCCCAAUCGCAUUGAAUAUUGAUAUAAGGAUAUUGAAAAGUAUGGCUUUGAAACAGGUCUUGUUUUGACCUCCCAACCUUGUAGUUUAGCUUUAAACACAGAUUAUUUGUUGUUGCUUAGGUUAAAUGUAACUUCAAUUAGCAUACCCUCACAAUCUCUCUUACUUUCGCAGA
Non-coding RNA from Camellia sinensis, 1072 nucleotides. The record is from RefSeq and is a predicted model, not a curated record. Lineage: Eukaryota; Viridiplantae; Streptophyta; Magnoliopsida; Ericales; Theaceae.